UUGAGGAAUAUUGGUCAAUGGGCGCAAGCCUGAACCAGCCAUGCCGCGUGCAGGAAGACGGUCCUAUGGAUUGUAAACUGCUUUUAUUUGGGAAUAAACCUCCUUACGUGUAGGGAGCUGAAGGUACCAAAUGAAUAAGCACCGGCUAACUCCGUGCCAGCAGCCGCGGUAAUACGGAGGGUGCAAGCGUUAUCCGGAAUCAUUGGGUUUAAAGGGUCCGCAGGCGGUCAUAUAAGUCAGUGGUGAAAGCCUACAGCUCAACUGUAGAACUGCCAUUGAUACUGUAUGACUUGAAUUCGAUCGAAGUGGGCGGAAUGUGACAUGUAGCGGUGAAAUGCUUAGAUAUGUCACAGAACACCGAUAGCGAAGGCAGCUCACUAGGUCUGGAUUGACGCUCAGGGACGAAAGCGUGGGGAGCAAACAGGAUUAGAAACCCCGGUAGUCC
Molecule: ribosomal RNA, 445 nt
Filed under: uncultured bacterium
Lineage: Bacteria
Description: partial 16S ribosomal RNA
Rfam family: Bacterial small subunit ribosomal RNA
Source: RNAcentral